This 1361-nucleotide ribosomal RNA is filed under the name uncultured bacterium. Its description in RNAcentral is "bacterial SSU rRNA". It matches the Rfam family "Bacterial small subunit ribosomal RNA", at positions 28 to 1381 of the family's 1533-position model. The record is from RNAcentral.
AUUGAACGCUGGCGGCAGGCCUAACACAUACAAGUCGAGCGGUAGCACAGAGAGCUUGCUCUCGGGUGACGAGCGGCGGACGGGUGAGUAAUGUCUGGGAAACUGCCUGAUGGAGGGGGAUAACUACUGGAAACGGUAGCUAAUACCGCAUAACGUCGCAAGACCAAAGUGGGGGACCUUCGGGCCUCAUGCCAUCAGAUGUGCCCAGAUGGGAUUAGCUAGUAGGUGGGGUAACGGCUCACCUAGGCGACGAUCCCUAGCUGGUCUGAGAGGAUGACCAGCCACACUGGAACUGAGACACGGUCCAGACUCCUACGGGAGGCAGCAGUGGGGAAUAUUGCACAAUGGGCGCAAGCCUGAUGCAGCCAUGCCGCGUGUGUGAAGAAGGCCCUCGGGUUGUAAAGCACUUUCAGCGGGGAGGAAGGCGGUGAGGUUAAUAACCUCAUCGAUUGACGUUACCCGCAGAAGAAGCACCGGCUAACUCCGUGCCAGCAGCCGCGGUAAUACGGAGGGUGCAAGCGUUAAUCGGAAUUACUGGGCGUAAAGCGCACGCAGGCGGUCUGUCAAGUCGGAUGUGAAAUCCCCGGGCUCAACCUGGGAACUGCAUUCGAAACUGGCAGGCUAGAGUCUUGUAGAGGGGGGUAGAAUUCCAGGUGUAGCGGUGAAAUGCGUAGAGAUCUGGAGGAAUACCGGUGGCGAAGGCGGCCCCCUGGACAAAGACUGACGCUCAGGUGCGAAAGCGUGGGGAGCAAACAGGAUUAGAUACCCUGGUAGUCCACGCCGUAAACGAUGUCGAUUUGGAGGUUGUGCCCUUGAGGCGUGGCUUCCGGAGCUAACGCGUUAAAUCGACCGCCUGGGGAGUACGGCCGCAAGGUUAAAACUCAAAUGAAUUGACGGGGGCCCGCACAAGCGGUGGAGCAUGUGGUUUAAUUCGAUGCAACGCGAAGAACCUUACCUGGUCUUGACAUCCACAGAACUUUCCAGAGAUGGAUUGGUGCCUUCGGGAACUGUGAGACAGGUGCUGCAUGGCUGUCGUCAGCUCGUGUUGUGAAAUGUUGGGUUAAGUCCCGCAACGAGCGCAACCCUUAUCCUUUGUUGCCAGCGGUCCGGCCGGGAACUCAAAGGAGACUGCCAGUGAUAAACUGGAGGAAGGUGGGGAUGACGUCAAGUCAUCAUGGCCCUUACGACCAGGGCUACACACGUGCUACAAUGGCAUAUACAAAGAGAAGCGACCUCGCGAGAGCAAGCGGACCUCAUAAAGUAUGUCGUAGUCCGGAUUGGAGUCUGCAACUCGACUCCAUGAAGUCGGAAUCGCUAGUAAUCGUAGAUCAGAAUGCUACGGUGAAUACGUUCCCGGGCCU